GGCGCAUGACAGAUCCACCGAUGCCAUGGCAUCUAUUUCUCUUUCUUUUUAUUUUUUAACCGUCCGUGACGAUGACACGACGCGGGUAGAACUGUGGAUCUCAAAAAUUUGUAGACGACAAUGGUGGUCCAUCAUCCAUGGCUGGGACACGGCACCAGGUAGAGCCACGGAUGCCAUAGGCUCUUUCUCUCUUUUUUUUGUUAACCGUCCGCGACGACGACACGACGCCGGGUAGAUCCGCAGACCUCAAGAAUUUUAUAUACGGCGAUGGUGGUCCAUCUGUGGCUGCGACACGGCGCCAGGUAGAGCCAC
Molecule: long non-coding RNA, 312 nt
Filed under: Brachypodium distachyon (stiff brome)
Lineage: Eukaryota; Viridiplantae; Streptophyta; Magnoliopsida; Poales; Poaceae
Description: long non-coding RNA (BDIS_LNC003238)
Source: RNAcentral